Molecule: long non-coding RNA, 10431 nt
Organism: Amborella trichopoda
Lineage: Eukaryota; Viridiplantae; Streptophyta; Magnoliopsida; Amborellales; Amborellaceae
Source: RefSeq, a predicted model, not a curated record
UCUCUUUUAUCUAUAAAAAUGUGACGAUGGGGCUUAGAAAAGUGUAUCCGACACUCUCUUUAUUAGAACUUUGAUUCCCUAUAUCUGCUGAGUCAGAAAGGAAUUCGAUUCUUUUCUUUGGAUGCAAGCUUUGCAGUACAUUUUGUUUUUGAAAACUUUGAUGUCCAAGGCUUAUAAAAGGCCCUCGAACCUCAGUUGUUAAGGAAUCAGAUAUUGAGCUCUUCAGUCGCUACCCUACUUUCGGUGCCUCGUUGAGUCUCAAGUCCUGUAAGUCUUUGUUUUAAGCAUGUGCGAGUAGUAGUUAUGCGACUUUCUUUUAGAGUCCCUGAGUUAUGAUGUAAGACGGUUUAUACCGAUAGCUUCUUGUGCUCAGUUAGUAGAUUGAUGUUUAAUGAAAUGAUUGUCUCUCAUUUCUGCCCUACUUAAAUGAAAUUAGUUUUGCGAAAGGAGAUCUUUAAAAAUUCUAUUUCACAAAUCUGCCUUAUUUCUGAAAACACUGAUUUAAGAACUCUUUGUUAUCUGUCUUUUUGUUCAAAACCCCGAAGACUAUUAAGGCCGUAGUGAUCAACUGGAGUAUUUGUUGGGAUGCUAGCUCAAUCUUUGAGGCGAGUUCUUCGGUUCUAACCUUUGUAGGUUUAGGGUUGUUAGGGUCGAAUUCAAGUGUCCUAACAAUUCUUUCUAUUUCUGUAGUUCGGUUGUCUAACCGAUCUAUAAUUUGUUUAGCAGUUUCUUGAUCCGAUUUUUUAACUUGAUUUAAAACUUUCUGAACAAUUUGUGAUAUUCUUUCUUGUCCAUCCUUUUUGAAGUUUCUAACUACUUCUUUUAGAGAUAGAAUUUCUUCUUUUAGAUAGUCUAGAUUGCUAGAUAUCUUUUCUAGAGAAACUUUGGUUCUUUCACGUUUACUUGAAAGUCGAUCAAAACCUUCUUUGAUUUCAAAGUUUGAGUCUUUUAACUGGUAAAAUCUUUUGAGUUCGGAACAUAGUUCUUUUUUCAAAAGUUUUUAUUAGAUCAAAGAUAGUAGGUCUGUCUGGAUCUAAUCCUUGUAUUCCUAGUUCUCUUUGGGUAUGGAGAACUUCGCCGUAGAUGCUAUUAGAUAACCCUAUGACACUGGAAACUUUGUCUUUGUACUCGUCUUCAAUGUGUCUGAAGUGAGUAAAGUUUUCAAAUCCUUUAGAUUUAGCAAUACAGAAAUCUUCAAAUUUUUUGAUUUUUGAUUUUUUGUUACUAGACAUUAAAGUAAAACUAACUAUGCAAAAUUCUUCAAGAAGAACAUGACUCUGAUACCAUUUCGUUUGAACAGAUCUUAAAGCAAUAAACACAAUAAAACUACUAUUUAUCAAUUGAGUAUUUUAGCAUAAGAGAGAUAACAAGCAAGGUAUUAAUUGAAGGCAAUACUCUUUCUAGAGUAUGAGUUAAUAAUAACAAGGCCCAACCAAUCUUCCGCAACCAGUUUUCGAUCUAUUUUUAAAUUGCAAGCUCUCCAGAUCCCUUAAAAACUUCAUUAGCAUUUGCAAAACUCUUUCUUAGUUAAACUAUUCACCACCGCCUUUAUCUUAAUCACAAAAUGUGAAAGAAACAAAGUCUAAUAUCUUCUUGUUGUGACAACCUUAACAACUAAUAAGGACUCAUCUUUGAACAACCCAAAACGGCCUCCUGCCUACAGGGUUUGUUCUCACUACGACUUUAAUAGUCUUCGGGGUUUUGGACAAAAAGCCAGAUAACAAAGAGUUCUUAAAUCAGUGUUUUAAAAAAUAAGGCAUAUUUGUGAAAUAGAAUUUUUAAAGAUCUCCUUUCGCAAAACUAAUUUCAUUUAAGUAGGGCAGAAAUGAGAAACAAGCAUUUCAUUAAACAUCCAUCUACUAACUGAGCACAAGAAGCUAUCGAUAUAAACCGUCUUACAUCAUAACUCAGGGACUCUAAAAGAGAGUCGCAUGACUACUACUCACACAUGCUUAAAACAAAGACUUACAGGACUUGAGACUCAACGAGGCACCGAAAGUUGCUUAGCUUUUCCCAAGUAGGGGAGUGACUGAAGAGCUCAAGAUCUGAUUCCUUAACAACUGAAGUUCGAGGGCCUUUUAUAAACCUUGGACAUCAAAGUUUCAAAAACAAAAUGGACGACAAAGCUUGCAUUCGAAAAAACAAAAUCGGAUGCCUUUCUGACUCUUUAGACAUAGGGAAUCAAUGUUUUAAUAAAGAGAGUGCCGAGUACACUUUUUUGGGCCCCAUUACCACACUUUUCUAGAUAAAAGAGAUUUCUUUUUACAAGACAACAAAAACUAAAGACUAAAGCCUAAGAUGGUUAAUAUUCCAUCUGAUUGUCCAGGUUGGCUAUCUGGAUGUCGUCCAUUUCUUCAUCUUGAUACGAUAGAUUGUCUGGGGUUGAAAUGGUCAUAUCUGUGUCCCAGAAAUUAUCUUUCAACUCUCCUUCGAGCAUUUUGUAGGUCUUCAGCCUUGUGUUUAUUUCGCCAGCUUGGAUUCUUUUGAAGAGCCUUGAUUUAUCAACCUGAUGUUGAUAUGGAGUGGCAAUGAUGGUGUGGCUUCCUUCAGAUAUGAUAGUGUCUCUGCAGGCCCAGAGCUUAGGCACGAAGCUUUUGAAGGUCUUUCUCCUGAGAUUUCAAUAUACGGACAAGGGAAGGUCCAUUAGGGUUUUUCUCCGGGUUUUGGAGAAUUCUGAUAAACUGGUAAACUAGUAGGAAUUUAUUGGUUUCAUGAAUCCAUUCAGGUGGUAUAGUUAUGAAUUUCAGACGAAGGACAAUUUUCUGGACGAUGGUUUCUUAGGGUGUUGACAAGGAUAUUGGGUAGCCCUUUGAGAUCUGAAUUGUCAGCGGUCCAAAGGUUCUUGAUGAACGUGUUUUCAUAUAACCAGAGCUUCUGGUCUUGGGGAUGUUCAGCAGAGAGAGUGCAUUGGUAAAAGGCGGGGGGUGAACUAAUUCGUCUUUUGAGAGAAUUAGGCCAUUGGUGGUUUGGAUUGGCAAGCUGUGUAUGAAAUUCAUACCAAUUUUGUUCUGGGAUAGUGUCUGGAGGGAUACGACAUCUUUUGGGGUCUAUCCCGAUAUUUUGAACAGAAGUAUCAGUCUCAGCCACUGGUCUUUUAACCAUUUUUGAACAAUGGAUUUCACUUAGCCGUGAGGCUAAGGCCUUCAUAGUUAACAUAAAGGACUUUUUAUUAGCCAUGUCAUAAUUAAUUACAUGGUAGCUGUUUAAAAGUUUUUAAUCAUUAAAAUCCAGUUUUUUGUGGGUUUUAUAGACGGAUCUAUAGCCUUGUGGUGGUUCCGUUUUCUUGACUGUUUUUGCAGAAAUGGCAAUGGUUUUUGCCUCUGUAGAUUCACUGUUUCAUAUUUUGAUGGUUUUGGGAUCCCAAGUAGGAGUUGAUAUUUCUAUUUUCUUGAAGGUAUAUUCUUCAGUAAAUUGCCCAUACUGAACAUGAAAAUUGCAAUUUUCGCCUAAUGUUCCAAUGGAUGGAUCUCCCAUUUUUAUCCUUUCUUUAAAGGAUCUUUUUUGCAGUAUAACAUGUUUUUCAGGUUUCGAUUCAAUAACUUUUGGAAUUAUAGAACUUGGUUCUAUUUCUAAUGGAUGGAGCAAGAUAGUGCCUGCCAUUUUAUCUCUUGAUAUUUGGGACAGGGUAGUACCUGCCGCCUCUGUUUCGAGGUUUUACCUUUGUCUUCGCCUCUUGGCGAUUGGGGAAGGGCGGAGUCUUCUCUUACUGCUUUAGGUGCCAUUUCUCUCGUAAGAGAAUCGGGAAGAUGGUUGCACGUACCUGAGAUAUGUUCUACUUUGUUCUCAUAAUUGGAGAACCAAUUUUGCCAACGAAUUUAUCUUCUGCGAGAUAGAGACCUGUCAAAAUUAUAUUUUUUCAAUUUGACAAAAUACUUGUUGUCAGUUCUAAUUAAAAAUUUAGUAUCUAGAAAGAUCUCUGAUCUUUGAAUGGUUUUCAUUCCGACUAAAAUUUCCUUUUCCGCGGUAGAGUAGUUUAACUUUGCACCACAAAAUUUGCCAGAAUGAUACUUUACAAAUUUUUCGUCUAUCUCAUCUGGAGAUAGACUUUUGACUAUGCCUGCCCUAUAUUGGUUAGAUGCGUCAGUUUCUAGGAUAAUCUUAUCCUUUUCAAUAGGGAGAGAGAGCCUUGGAAGUUUGACACCAGCUUCCUUAACUCUUUUGAUUCUUUUUUCGUCUUCUUGGUUAAAGGACAACUUUCCUUUUUUGAGUUUUGUAUGUAGAAUUCCAGUAAGGGAAGAGAGGUUAGGUACAAAAUCUAGAAUGUAAUUAACACAACCAAGAAAUCUUUGUAGUUGCUGUCUUCCAUUUUGUUGGGGAAAUCAACGACUUUUGUUAGAACAUGGGGUUGCAUUGUGAUUUCACCAUUUUCAAUAUCGAGACCUAAGAACUUGAUCUUGUUUCUUUCAAGAAAAAUCUUCUUUUCUCCUAGGAUAAUCCCACGCCGGAUUAUCUUGUUUAUGACCUAUUCUAGGUGCAUAAGGUGUUCUUCUUUUGUUUUACUAAAAACAAGAAUAUCAUCUACAUAUAUGCCGCAAAAUUCGAAGAGAUCUCCGAAUAUUUUAUCCGUUCGUCUUUGAAAGAUGUUUGGCGCAUUUUUUAAUCCAAACGGCAUUACCAGCCAUUCAUACUGUCCUUGGGGAGUAUGAAUUCAGGAGUAAGUUUGAUUUGCCAAAAGCUUGAUUUGGCGUCAAAUUUACUGAACCAUUUUGCUCAUUUGAUUUUACUAAUCAGUUGUUGAGCAUUUGGAAUGUAAUAGUCAUCUGACUUCGUAUAGGCAUUUAGCUUUUUAUAAUUGAUCACAAUUCUAGCUUUUCUUCUUAAGGUUUCGCUGUGAUUUCUUACAUAGAAAGCUGGGCUAGAAUGAGGACUAUUAGACUUUUGAAUGAGUCCUAGUUGUAAUUGCUCUUGCAAUUGUUGUUUGAAUUCUUUUUCAUUUUCUGUGGUGUAGUACAUGGGUCUUACCCGUACUAUUGCAUGAGGGUCUUUUAAUACGAGAUGACAUCUAGUUUUAUCCUUUUCCCAAAGUAGGAUAGGAUUAAAGCUUAUGUUAUUUCUUAAUAAAGACUUAAGUUCUUCAAGGCUUUUGAGUUUUGGUUUCUCUUGAGCUUUGUGAACUUGUUCAGGAAAUUCGUUCUCAAGUAUACGUCAUUCUGUAUAGCAUUCCCUUUACUUUGUGAAUUCUGGUAUUUCUGAAACUUUAAGUUUUCGAUAUUUCUUACCGGAAUCGCGAUUGUAGUUUUUGCUGUUAUCUCACCACGCUGCGCAUGCGAGAUACUUUGAUGUUUUAGUUUUGAUGGUAGAAAUCCAUCAUUGACUACAGAGAAGGCUUGUUUCAAUCUAGAAAUAUAAUAGUGCUGUCCAUCCUCUCCUCUGCGAGAGAUCGUUUCAUUGUUUUGGAUAAACUGUUGGUAUUUUAAUAGGAAGUUGUUUCCUAGCAAAAUAUCACAACCAUGUCCAGUUGAUUGCCAUAGAAUAUAUAUGGUAAAUUUCCCUCCUCCAAUUUUGAGGGGUAUUUCUUCAGCGUACUUACCGAAGGUUACUGUACUGCCAUCUGCAGUGGUUCCUUGGAUCUACUUUUCAAGUUUUUCUUUCCAUUUUUCUUGUGGAAUUGCUCCUGGAAGAGCAAGACACAUACCUACACCAUUAUCUAUGUAUGCAUGCAAAUGAUAAGGUUGAUAACCUUUGAAUUUCCAUUCAGUGCUGAUAUAGGUGCUAUUGGGUGAUGUUUUCAAAGCUUUAGAAGAGUCAUCUUCUUCUAGACUUUCUGAAAGUGGUUUUGUCUCUUCUGAGAUAGUUAUAGAGCAGUUGCUGGGAUUUUCUUUGAUUUCAAGUUCUUGAUCCUUUAUUGGGUUUUCUUCAUUCCCUUGAAACUUUUGUACUUCAUCUAUGACUAGGUUUGCAAGAUGAGCAUUUCCAGUAUGUUUUCUUACUUCAUAGAUAAAACACUCUUGGUGGUAAGUGAAAUUCUUUAAGACGCAGUAUAACAUUAUUCCAUUAUCCAAACAUUUGCAAGUAACUUUUAUAUGUUUUCUGACAUCAAAUCUUAUUUCUGAAGGUAUGAUACUUUGGGUAUCUGGUUCUCUCCAAUUGGUGAGUUUGAGAGUUUUUAAUUUAACAAUUUCUUCUUCUUCUGAACUGAUUUCACUUUCUGUUUCAGAAUUCUGUUUCUACGGAGUAGAUUGAUUCAUUGUCUUCAUUAUCUGAAGUUUCUUCAAGUGGUAUAAGACCCAUUGUAUUGGUUUCUUCUAUCAUUUCUGAACUUUCUUAAUAAAUGAUUUUAGCCUGUUUGGUCUUGUUUUUCUUAGGGCAUUCAUUCGCAUAACGUCCUAUUUCUUCACAUAACCAACAUUUACAAGUUUUCUUGUUUUCUUUUUGUGGUCUGAAGUUCUUUGAAGCUUUCCUUUUAAAAUAUCUGUUUUCUUGCCUUUUGUCUGUCAAAGCUUUUGGAUUUUCUAAACUUACGUUUUUUCCAAGGUUUCUUAUGAAAUUUUUUGUAAGUUUUCUUUUUUGUAAGUUUUUUCUCGUGAUAGCCUCAUUGGGUUGGCAUAUUAGAGAUUCCAUAGCAGAAUCCUUCUGCUCCUUUCAUCUGUGUUUUAGCUUGCCUAGCUAAUUUAUUUUUUAUGCAAACAUCCUUGAAGUAGUCCCUAAAAAAGGAUACAAUUUCUCCUAGAAGUUCUUAAUGAGAUUAGAGAGGUAUUUAUUUUGUUGAAGAUUUAUUCAUUCCAGGGGGCUGGGAGCUUUUGAACAAACAUUUGUAAAUACCCUGUAUUUCUGACAUCUCCAAUUAUGUAAAAGUAUUUGGAAAAUUCAUUACCAUACUCUUCAAAGUAUCUAAUAUUAUAGAUUGAGAGAUUGGUCAAGUUUUUCUGAGCUUGGGUUAUUUCUUUUGAUCCUUGAUCAUUAAUAUCUCCUCAAAAUUCUUUGUAAAAGAUUGCAGCAAAAUCUGUUGCACUUCUGCUUAGUCUUAUAGACUGUUUCCAUGUGAUAUAUUCAGCUGUGUUUUUAUAGGCAUUAAACAUCUUUUGGUAUUUCCUCUAAGGGUAUGAGCAUAAUAUUCUUGAAGUUGCUCAUUGUUCCAGUUUGCUCCUACUGCAUUGCUGGCCAUAUCCAUAGUUGAUGCUCAGUCGCUAAUGGCUUUUCUUUUGUCUAGGACAUUGUCUAAAUUUAGGUAUGUCCCGCCUGAGGUUAUUGGGGCUCCCCAAUCCUUAGGUUUAGGAAUAUACUCCUUGCUCUAAGGUUCAGUAGGUUUUCCUGUGGGCAUUCCCCUUGCCUUUGGGAAUUUUUCUUCACCUUGUAGAAUGGUGAUGGGUUGGUUGAUGUAUGUUAUUGGCGUUUGUGCAGAAGAUUCACCUUGUUCCAUAGGUUCCUUUCUUGGUCCAGGACCUCCAGUUACUUCACUUUGUUCUUCAUCAUUGACGGGUUUUAUUUCUUCUUGUUGAGGUUCUAGCUGUUGUAAUCUUUUAAUCACGUAAGCUAGUCUUUCAGUAUUGGUUGUGGUAUAGAAUUCUUUCUCUAAUUCUUCAACCGUUUCAUUGUCUUUUUCUCCUAAAGUUUGGAGUUUUUCUAUUUCUCUCACCACAUUUCCGUCUUGUGCACAUAUGUGGGAAUUAAUUUUGUCUAUUAGGACAUAAUUUUUGCAUUUCGAGCAUUUUAUUGAUUCUAAAGUCUCUUUUAGAAUCAUAUGAAAUUUCUCAUUGUCAAAGUCUUCUUCAUUAUGCCAAGUUCUCUCAUUCUUCAAAUGUACUACUUGUACUAAAUCUGAAGGAAAUGUUUCUUUUUGUAUCUUGGUAGAUACUGGAAAUAUUUUGAGAUUCUUCUAUUUUUCUCGAACCCUGUAUUUUCCAUCCUUCAUGAAAAGUUAAAUCUUUCCAUUCAACAGUGCUUGGGAUGAAGGUAUGAUUUCUCGGAUGAGACUAAAGUAAUGUUGUUACUCCGGGUAUCUACCGAAGUUUGGUCUGAGGUGCGAUCGUUGUUGUCAUCAGUUUAUAGUAGAUCAUAUAUUCAAUGGUUAGGUCUCCAUAUUGCUCUUUAACAUCAGUACCAUGUGUUUGGACUUGAAGUUUAAGAGAGUUGGGAGCGUCGUCUAAGUAGACAGUGUAGUUUGGUAAAACAUUGAAGUAAGCACACUGACUAUUUAGGUCUGCUUGCACUGCCCCUAGUAGUGAUUUUUCAAAGCUUCUCAUUAUGUUCUCUUAGGACGGCCAUGACUGAGGCUCCUAAGUCUUUUCUAGCUAGAAGUGUGAAAGCUACCUGUACUGCUCCUAUGUGAAGGAAUUUGUAGCCUUCCCUUUUUGCCUUUAGGACACAUUCUUUUGUUAUUAGAUUUAUGUCUGUUUGUGCAUCUAAAGCUGGUACAGACAAUUCUAAUCUUCUGAAUCUGUGUUUAAUGUUUAGUCCAAAUCCUUCCCAUUUCGUAGAUUUGACUAUAUUUGAAUUCUGGGAUGACUUCAUCUUUCAGAGUUUUUUCUAUUUCAGAGAAUUCAAAUUCUUCUUCGUUUGCUAUAGAAGGCAAAGAUUUUGUUAAUCCAAAUCUUUCUAGCAUUUUUAGAUUUUCUUUUCUAGGAGGGUGCCAUUUGUACUUAACAGGUUCACCAAACAUUGGUGGAGGUAUGGCAGAGGUACUAAUGGUAGUAUUUGGGGGAAUCACUACCUUUUUAGCCACUUCUGAGGCUAUCUUGUCUUCACUAAUAUCUUUUUCUCAAACUUUUUGUAACAAAUUUGUUUGUUGUUUACUUGUUUCAACAAUUUGUUUAGAUAGUGUUUUAACUGCUGCGAUCAAAUAAUUAUUCUGGUGAAUAAUACUUGUGGUAUCGCCUGUCAUUUGUCCUUUAGGUUUUGUAAAACCUUCAAGGGCAUCUGUAUCUUCUGAAGAGAGGAUAUCAGAUAUUUCUUUAUCUAAUCUAUCCAUUAGAUAACAGAAUUGAUCCUAUCAACUAUAGGUUUUACUGCAGUAUUUGUUGGGAUGCUCGCUCAAUCUUUGAGGCGCGUUCUUCGGUUCUAACCUCUGUAGGUUUAGGGUUGUUAGGGUCGAAUUCAAGAGUCCUAACAAUUCUUUCUAUUUCUGUAGUUUGGUUGUCUAACCGAUCGAUAAUUUGUUUAGCAGUUUCUUGAUCAGAUUUUUGAACUUGAUUUAAAACUUGCUGAACAAUUUGUGAUAUUCUUUCUUCUCUAUACUUUUUGAAGUUUCUAACUUCUUCUUUUAGAGAUAGAAUUUCUUCUUUUAGAUAGUCUAGAUUGUUAGAUAUAUUUUCUAGAGAAACUUUGGUUCUUUCAAGUUUACUUGAAUGUAGAUCAAAUCCUUCUUUGAUUUCAAAGUUUGAGUCUUUUAACUCUGUUAAAAUUUUUUGAGUUUGGAAAGCAGUUCUUUCUUCAAAAGUUUUUAUUAGAUCAAAGACAGUAGGUCUGUCUGGAUCUAGUCCUUGUAUUCCUAGUUCUCUUUGGGUAUGGAGAACUUCGUCGUAGAUGCUAUUAGAUAGCCCUAUGACACUGGAAACUUUGUCUUUGUUCUCGUCUUCAACGUGUCUGAAGUGAGUAAAGUUUUCAAAUCCUUUAGAUUUAGCAACACAGAAAUCUUCAAAUUUUUUGAUUUUUGAUUUUUUGUUAAUAGACAUUAACAUAAAACUAACUAUGCAAUAAGAGAAAACCCAGAAGAAUCAGUUGCUAUCAGAGCCUUGUUCUUCUUAGGAAUUUAAAUGUCUAGUAGUAAAAAAUCUAAAAACACAGAAUUUUGUGUAGUUAGCAAAAAGGAUUUUAGUAAACAUACUCACUCCAGACAUAUUGAAGACGAGUAUAACAACUCUGUUGAAGACGAGUAUAACAACUCUGUUGAAGACGAGUAUAACAACUCUAUUGAAGAUGAGUAUAACAACUCUAUUGAAGACAUUGUUGAGCGCACGACAGUCCAGGGAAACUUCUUCCUUCUCUCAUGUUUGUUUGCAUGUUGCCUUGUGCACCACUUAUCCUUUGCAUGCUGCCUUGUGCACCACUGGUACAUUGCAUGCUGCCUUGUAUACCACUUGUCAUUGUGUUUGCUGCCACCCCCUUAGUUUUUACCUAUUUAUACCACCUUCACACCUCUCCAUGGGGUUUUGCUCUCUCUCUUCUCCUUGCCUUAAAAACUUACGAUUGAAACCAUACUUGGGGCUUGACAUUGAACUGAACCUGUGCAGUGCACUUUGGAUCUUCAUUUAAGUGCAAGUGAUGCUUGCGGGUUGAGGACGGGCGGUUGGGUGAAUGCGGCUGACAGUUGGAACCCCGUACUCCUGGUAGAAGCUUCUUUUGUUGUAUGUUUUGGAUGACAGUAGCCAUAUAGUUCUUGUUUGUAUUAAGUCAUGUAAUGUUUUUGGGCCUUUGAGCCUUGGCCAUAUUUGUACCUUUGGAUCUCUUUUAUAUUUAUAUGCAGUUCGGAACUUGGUGGUCCGAUUUUAUGUU